RNAcentral lists this ribosomal RNA (253 nucleotides) under uncultured bacterium. RNAcentral's name for it is "partial 16S ribosomal RNA". It matches the Rfam family "Bacterial small subunit ribosomal RNA", at positions 524 to 776 of the family's 1533-position model. The record is from RNAcentral.
UACGUAGGUGACAAGCGUUGUCCGGAUUUACUGGGCGUAAAGAGCGCGCAGGCGGUCGAUCAAGUCGAGUGUGAAAGCCCCCGGCUCAACUGGGGAGGGUCAUUCGAUACUGAUCGACUCGAAGGCAGGAGAGGGUAGUGGAAUUCCCGGUGUAGUGGUGAAAUGCAUAGAUAUCGGGAGGAACACCAGUGGCGAAGGCGACUACCUGGCCUGUUCUUGACGCUGAGGCGCGAAAGCUAGGGGAGCAAACGGG